Molecule: long non-coding RNA, 417 nt
Filed under: Mytilus galloprovincialis (Mediterranean mussel)
Lineage: Eukaryota; Metazoa; Mollusca; Bivalvia; Mytilida; Mytilidae
Source: RNAcentral
GUCCUGUAUUUGUUUCAUUGUACCAAGGAUGAAUGUCUUAGUUUUACCGAGUGAUCUCACCUUUACUGUCUUCAAGUAUUGUCCCAGGUUUUAAGAUCAUUUGUACUAAGUAUGACCAGUCAUGUAAUAAAUUAGUUUUAUAAAUUUUGUAGAAGGAUAGCAGUAGGUCUUGUAGAUUGGUCUCAUCUCCACUGUCUUCAAGUUUUGUCCCAGUUUUUAAGAUCAUUUGUACUUAGUAAACAAAUUAUAGUCUAAUAAAUUUUGUACAUGGAUAGAUGUAGGUCUACAUCUCCGCCGUUUUAUCCGUUUUCAUCUCAGUUUAGCUCGAAUUAGGUUUUUUUCAGGAGAUGAUGUAUAUAACUUUGCUAUCUCUCGUGACAUUCCACGAAACUUUUACAAUCAAAUACUUUGUAACUG